AGAGUUUGAUCCUGGCUCAGAACGAACGCUGGCGGCAGGCCUAACACAUGCAAGUCGAGCGCUGUAGCAAUACAGAGCGGCGCACGGGUGAGUAACACGUGGGAACGUGCCCUUUGGUUCGGAAUAACUCAGGGAAACUUGAGCUAAUACCGGAUGAGCCCUAACGGGGAAAGAUUUAUCGCCGAAGGAGCGGCCCGCGUCGGAUUAGCUAGUUGGUGGGGUAAAAGCCUACCAAGGCAACGAUCCGUAGCUGGUUUGAGAGAACGACCAGCCACACUGGGACUGAGACACGGCCCAGACUCCUACGGGAGGCAGCAGUGGGGAAUCUUGGACAAUGGGGGAGACCCUGAUCCAGCCAUGCCGCGUGAGUGAUGAAGGCCCUAGGGUUGUAAAACUCUCUCGGCGGGGACGAUAAUGACGUACCCGCAGAAGAAAUCCA
RNAcentral lists this ribosomal RNA (439 nucleotides) under uncultured soil bacterium. RNAcentral describes it as "bacterial SSU rRNA". It matches the Rfam family "Bacterial small subunit ribosomal RNA", at positions 8 to 494 of the family's 1533-position model. The record is from RNAcentral.